AGGAUAAUAGUUAAAUUUUUAACAUUUAAGUUGCAUUUAAAAAAUAUUGAUACCAAUUUAUCUUA
This 65-nucleotide transfer RNA is filed under the name Donacia flemola. Its description in RNAcentral is "tRNA-Ala". The record is from RNAcentral. Lineage: Eukaryota; Metazoa; Arthropoda; Insecta; Coleoptera; Chrysomelidae.